This 794-nucleotide small RNA is filed under the name Pan troglodytes (chimpanzee). RNAcentral describes it as "processed transcript". Lineage: Eukaryota; Metazoa; Chordata; Mammalia; Primates; Hominidae. The record is from RNAcentral.
GGCGGCGGCGGAGCAGCGCGGGGAGCCAGGCGGGCUGCCGGCGGGUGUGAAGAAAAAAAAUGACACUCCAAUGGGCUGCAGUGGCAACCUUUCUUUAUGCCGAAAUAGGACUCAUUUUAAUCUUCUGCCUACCUUUUAUUCCUCCUCAGAGAUGGCAGAAGAUUUUUUCAUUUAAUGUCUGGGGUAAAAUUGCAACUUUUUGGAACAAGGCUUUCCUUACCAUUAUCAUCCUAUUGAUUGUUCUAUUUCUAGCUUUUCUGCAUAAUGGAUUCAGGAGUAUUAUUCCCAUUUAAUUACCAAGGAAGAUGAAUCACGAAGCAUAAUGAUCCUUCAUAGUACUCACUAUUUGCCUAUUCAAAAUAAGUCGUAAAUAUAUAUUAUCUUUGUUGGUUUUUUGGUAGUGGUUGGCAUGCUCUUACUAUAUUAUUGAGGCAAUCUGAGAAAUGACAAAGGGGAAAUAGCCAUUAAGAUACAGGAAAUUUUCUAAAGAUCAUUUAAGAGACUACUUUGUAUAACUAUGCAAAUAAAUUGGAAAACCUAGAUAAAAUGUAUAAUUUUGUAGAAAAAUAUGAUUUACCAAUGAACACCAGUAGAUAUAGAAAAUUUAAGCAGACUAAUUUAUAUAGAAAAAUUAUAGAAAGUUAUCAAAAAGGACCCCUAUUUGAAAAAAAAAAGCAAAAAACCAGAUAGUUUUAUAAGAAACCCUACUGCUUUCAGAAAACAGAUAUUACUACUGCUUCUUAAACUGUUCUAGAAUUUAAACUUCAAAUUGUACAGAGCUAGAAAAAAGCAAG